AACUGAUCCUGCUACAGCUCCACCAUGAAGUUCUUCAUGGUCCUGCUGCCAGCCAGCCUAGCCGCCACCUCUCUCGCCAUCCUUGAUGUUGAAUCUGGCCUCCUUCCACAACUCUCAGUCCCCUAAGGGUUAUUGAGCUGUCAGCUGGAGAGACCUCAGCACUAGAAAGGGCCUUCCUUAAUCCUUGUAAUAUGCUGUGUGGAGAGGUGGAAAGCUGCAGAACCAAAAGUUCACACCUGGGAUGACCUAGAGCCAGAAGGUGAAAUUCACUCGGAGACUCAGCCUGCAGAUGCCUCUGCCCAGGUCACCCCUAGCAGCCACCCCAAGAAGGACCAUGUUUCCAAUGAAGCCUCUCUAGGAGCGCUUCAUCUCCAAAGAAGAGCUGGUUUCCAAAAAGAAUGCUGUCAAAAGAGCACACACCCCAAGAGGACAAUUUCAAAAAUGUUAAGCUCCAAUUAGAAGAGACUACAGAACUGGCUCCCAGGGCUGUACUCCUCAGCAACCGCCUCAGAGGGAAAACUUGCCAAACUGGCCCAUAAAAUCGGGAAGAAUCUGGACAAAGCAUUGAAAGGAAUCAUAAACUAUCUGAAAAACCUAAUCCCUAGCGCCAAUGAUGUCAUGAGGCCCUAAUGAUGAGGGUGCCUGAAUUCCAGGCUAGGCUGUGGGAG
Long non-coding RNA from Homo sapiens (human), 668 nucleotides. Ensembl annotates it as glycosylation dependent cell adhesion molecule 1 (pseudogene). Its record names the gene GLYCAM1. The record is from Ensembl. NCBI's taxonomy places the organism in Eukaryota, Metazoa, Chordata, Mammalia, Primates, Hominidae.